GGAUUAUUAGUUUUAUUAUGUUUAGAAUUCUGUUUUUGUAAAACAGGGGAACUUUUAUGGGUAUAGUCCA
RNAcentral lists this transfer RNA (70 nucleotides) under Echinostoma miyagawai. RNAcentral describes it as "tRNA-Thr". Lineage: Eukaryota; Metazoa; Platyhelminthes; Trematoda; Plagiorchiida; Echinostomatidae. The record is from RNAcentral.